AUGGACAUGGGUAACCAUCUCCUCCUCCUCCUCCUCCUCACCAUUGUUGUUAACCUCCAUGCAUUUAAGCACACUGCCAGCAGCGACAAACUCACCUUCAACGGCUUCUCCGAGGCAAAUCUGAAGCUGAGUGGCCAAGCGUCUAUGGUAGGCCGUGCUAUAAGGCUCACCGGUGGCGUCACCUUGACAGAAGGGGAUGCUUUCUACAGCAGGCCCCUUGAUUUCAGUAGCAACCCCAGCGGUGGUGGGACCUCCUUCUCGACAACCUUCGUGUUUGCCAUCAACUCUGACACUACAGAAAGCCCCUCAGGGGCUCCUGGCAUGGCCUUCGUGCUCUCUUCCACCAUGGAGCUGCAACAUCUGCACAACAACUCAGUGGUUCAGGGCCAGCUGGGUUUCAGUGAUGCAGGAGGUAACAGCUCCAAUUCAGGUGACCGAUUCUCCUUUACAAUCGAGCUCACCUACAUCAACGACUACCUUGUUGAUAUCGAUGUCAAAAACUUAGUCUCCGUUAACCAUACCACCGGCUCCCACAGGGCUAACAGCAUGUUCGAAAGCACCAAACUUAGCAGUGGCAAACCGAUGCAAGUGUGGAUACACUAUAAUGGCACGGAGCAAAAGCUAAAUGUCACCUUAGAAGAAUUCCAUGAUCAGGUCAAACGGUCUAAACCGCUGAGCCUGCCACAGUUAUCGUCCACUGUCAAUCUCUCACCUUUGCUGUCAAACUCUGAGCAUGUAUAUGCUGGGUUCUCUGCUGCAAAUGGGCAAACAAAUUACAACCAAUAUGUUCUAGGAUGGAGUUUCAUGAAAAAUGGACAAGCUCCACCACUAAACCCCUUUGAUCUCCCCCGAAUCCUGCCAAAUCCUCCUGUAGAAGAGCAUCCGAAAAAGGACAGCCCACUCCUACUGAUGGUUCCCAUUGUCACUUUGGUUCCCAUUGUCUUGGUUCUUCUUGUGCUUAUUUUUUCCUACAAUGUUAAGUUGUGGUUGAAGAAAGCCCCUGCACACGAAAAAUGGGAAAUUGACUGUGGGGUGUUGCAAUCUUUCACGUACAAAUAUCUAUUUAUUGCCACCAGCGGGUUCAACAAAAAGGCACUCCUAGGGAAAGGAGGAUUUGGGAAGGUCUACAAGGGUGUGCUGGGUGUCCCUAAGGAGACUAUUGCAAUCAAGAGGGUGUCUCCAGAAUCAAAGCAGGGGAUGAAAGAAUUCAUGGCUGAAAUCGCCAUUCUUGGUCACCUCCGCCAUCGUAACCUUGUCCAACUGAUUGGCUACUGCCGCCACAGGCAUGAACUUCUUUUGGUUUAUGAUUAUAUGCCCAACGGUAGCCUUGAUACAUAUUUGCAUAAAAAGGAUAAGCCAACUCUGGGCUGGGAUCAAAGGCUUCACAUCAUCAAAGGGGUUGCGGCUGGCCUUGUCUACUUGCAUGAGGACUGGGAACAGGUUGUUAUCCAUCGAGAUAUCAAGGUGAGCAACGUGCUCCUUGAUGAUGGAAUGAAUGGAAGGCUAGGUGAUUUCGGCCUUGCAAGGUUGCACGGACAUGAAGCCGACGCCCAUACCACGCGUGUGGCAGGCACCUGGGGUUACAUUGCUCCUGAGCUGGCUAGGCUCGGGAAGGCGACCAAGGCAACAGAUGUGUAUGCAUUUGGCAUAUUCCUGAUGGAAGUUGCAUGUGGAAGACGGCCAAUUGAGGCGAAUGCCCAUGGUGAACCUAUGGUGCUAGCAGACUGGGUGCUCAAUACAUGGCAAACUGGUUCACUCAUUGAUGCCAUGGACACAAGGUUAGAACAAGACCAUGUCACUGAAGAGGUAGAGUUAGUGCUAAAACUUGGACUCCUAUGCUCCCACUCGCUCCCCAAGGAAAGGCCAUGUAUGCGGCUCGUUAUGCAGUACCUGGAAAGCGAUGCAACGCUCCCAGAUUUCCCACCAAGUUUUUUCACUGCCAAUUCAAGCAAAGAUGAAGGAUUUGAAGACCAGGUUGCGCCCCCUCCCUCAGUGGCAACAUCUAUUACAUGCCUUUCUGGAGGAAGAUGA
Molecule: ribosomal RNA, 2031 nt
Filed under: Triticum aestivum (bread wheat)
Lineage: Eukaryota; Viridiplantae; Streptophyta; Magnoliopsida; Poales; Poaceae
Description: partial small subunit ribosomal RNA
Source: RNAcentral